UGGCUCCAGCAUCGAUGAAGAACGCAGCGAAAUGCGAUAACUAGUGUGAAUUGCAGAAUUCAGUGAAUCAUCGAGUCUUUGAACGCACAUUGCGGCCGCCGGCACUCCGGCGGCCAUGCCUGUCCGAGCGCCACUAACACCCUCAGGAGCUGCUCCUGGCGCUGGGUGACCGCCUGCUCAGCAGCGGCCGCCUUAAAGUUAGUGGCGGCGACGCCUGCAGCGCGACGUACUUAGUAACUCUGCUAGCACGAAGCCCUGGCGCUCGCCUGCCGCGAGAACCCCCCUUAUGCCAAAGUGGUUGGCCUCGGAUCAGGUAGGAUUACCCGCUGA
Molecule: unclassified non-coding RNA, 330 nt
Filed under: uncultured fungus
Lineage: Eukaryota; Fungi
Description: partial contains 5.8S ribosomal RNA and internal transcribed spacer 2
Rfam family: 5.8S ribosomal RNA (bases 1-133)
Source: RNAcentral